Molecule: ribosomal RNA, 638 nt
Filed under: uncultured Gammaproteobacteria bacterium
Lineage: Bacteria; Pseudomonadati; Pseudomonadota; Gammaproteobacteria
Description: bacterial SSU rRNA
Rfam family: Bacterial small subunit ribosomal RNA
Source: RNAcentral
GAACGGUAACAGGAUGUGCUUGCACAUCGCUGACGAGUGGCGGACGGGUGAGUAAUGCUUAGGGAUCUGCCUCUGUGUGGGGGAUAACUAUUGGAAACGAUAGCUAAUACCGCAUAAUGUUUACGGACCAAAGGGGGCGUUUGCUCCCGCGCAGAGAGGAACCUAAGUGAGAUUAGCUAGUUGGUAAGGUAAUGGCUUACCAAGGCGACGAUCUCUAGCUGUUCUGAGAGGAAGAUCAGCCACACUGGGACUGAGACACGGCCCAGACUCCUACGGGAGGCAGCAGUGGGGAAUAUUUGCACAAUGGGGGGAACCCUGAUGCAGCCAUGCCGCGUGUGUGAAGAAGGCCUUCGGGUUGUAAAGCACUUUCAGUUGUGAGGAAAGGUUAGUAGUUAAUACCUGCUAGCUGUGACGUUAGCAACAGAAGAAGCACCGGCUAACUCCGUGCCAGCAGCCGCGGUAAUACGGAGGGUGCGAGCGUUAAUCGGAAUUACUGGGCGUAAAGCGCACGCAGGCGGUUUGUUAAGCUAGAUGUGAAAGCCCCGAGCUCAACUUGGGAUGGUCAUUUACGAACUGGCAGACUAGAGUCUUGGAGAGGGGAGUGGAAAUUUCUAGUGUAGCGGUGAAAUGCGUAGAUU